CCUACGGGGGACAGCAGUGAGGAAUAUUGGUCAAUGGGCUUACGCCUGAACCAGCCAAGUCGCGUGAGGGAAGACUGCCCUAUGGGUUGUAAACCUCUUUUGUCAGGGAGCAAUUGGCGCUACGUGUAGCGUUAUCGAGAGUACCUGAAGAAAAAGCAUCGGCUAACUCCGUGCCAGCAGCCGCGGUAAUACGGAGGAUGCGAGCGUUAUCCGGAUUUAUUGGGUUUAAGGGGUGCGUAGGCGGAAUGCCAAGUCAGCGGUAAAAUCGCGGGGCUCAACCUCGCUCCGCCGUUGAAACUGGCGGUCUUGAGUGGGCGAGAAGUAUGCGGAAUGCGUGGUGUAGCGGUGAAAUGCAUAGAUAUCACGCAGAACUCCGAUUGCGAAGGCAGCAUACCGGCGCCCAACUGACGCUGAAGCACGAAAGCGUGGGUAUCGAACAGGAUUAGAUACCCGUGUAGUC
Molecule: ribosomal RNA, 460 nt
Filed under: uncultured bacterium
Lineage: Bacteria
Description: partial 16S ribosomal RNA
Rfam family: Bacterial small subunit ribosomal RNA
Source: RNAcentral